This 324-nucleotide long non-coding RNA is filed under the name Theobroma cacao (cacao). RNAcentral's name for it is "long non-coding RNA (TCAC_LNC002247)". The record is from RNAcentral. Lineage: Eukaryota; Viridiplantae; Streptophyta; Magnoliopsida; Malvales; Malvaceae.
AAAUGUUCCUGAGAGAGUUCCCCUACCUCCUCCUACAUAUGGUGCAGCAUCUUUCAACAGCUCAAAACCUUCCCAUUCUACCAGUUUCCAAUAUGGUGCAACAUCUUUCAGCAGCUCAAAACCUUCUAAUCCCACCAGUUUCCAACCAAGCGUCCCUCCUCAUCCUGAAGAUAGUAGUUCUGUCAGCUCAGCUCCCCCAGCUCCAAGUUCCACUUAUGAUAGCCAGGUAUGAGAAAUUUGAUGUAGUUGUUCAGUUGGCCCAUAUAUCUUCUAUAAUAACAGGCUGCAUUGGCAUUCCAUUUUUUGAACUGAAACCUGAAAUUG